Molecule: ribosomal RNA, 805 nt
Filed under: bacterium
Lineage: Bacteria
Description: bacterial SSU rRNA
Rfam family: Bacterial small subunit ribosomal RNA
Source: RNAcentral
ACGAACGCUGGCGGCGUGCUUAACACAUGCAAGUCGAACGAUGAACCACUUCGGUGGGGAUUAGUGGCGAACGGGUGAGUAACACGUGGGCAAUCUGCCCUUCACUCUGGGACAAGCCCUGGAAACGGGGUCUAAUACCGGAUAACACUGCGGAUCGCAUGGUCUGCGGUUAAAAGCUCCGGCGGUGAAGGAUGAGCCCGCGGCCUAUCAGCUUGUUGGUGAGGUAAUGGCUCACCAAGGCGACGACGGGUAGCCGGCCUGAGAGGGCGACCGGCCACACUGGGACUGAGACACGGCCCAGACUCCUACGGGAGGCAGCAGUGGGGAAUAUUGCACAAUGGGCGAAAGCCUGAUGCAGCGACGCCGCGUGAGGGAUGACGGCCUUCGGGUUGUAAACCUCUUUCAGCAGGGAAGAAGCGAAAGUGACGGUACCUGCAGAAGAAGCGCCGGCUAACUACGUGCCAGCAGCCGCGGUAAUACGUAGGGCGCAAGCGUUGUCCGGAAUUAUUGGGCGUAAAGAGCUCGUAGGCGGCUUGUCACGUCGAUUGUGAAAGCCCGAGGCUUAACCUCGGGUCUGCAGUCGAUACGGGCUAGCUAGAGUGUGGUAGGGGAGAUCGGAAUUCCUGGUGUAGCGGUGAAAUGCGCAGAUAUCAGGAGGAACACCGGUGGCGAAGGCGGAUCUCUGGGCCAUUACUGACGCUGAGGAGCGAAAGCGUGGGGAGCGAACAGGAUUAGAUACCCUGGUAGUCCACGCCGUAAACNGNNNNANUAGGUGUUGGCGACAUUCCACGUCGUCGGUGCCGCA